This 460-nucleotide ribosomal RNA is filed under the name uncultured bacterium. RNAcentral describes it as "partial 16S ribosomal RNA". It matches the Rfam family "Bacterial small subunit ribosomal RNA", at positions 338 to 795 of the family's 1533-position model. The record is from RNAcentral.
CCUACGGGCGGCAGCAGUGAGGAAUAUUGGUCAAUGGACGCAAGUCUGAACCAGCCAAGUCGCGUGAAGGAAGACUGCCCUAUGGGUUGUAAACUUCUUUUGUAUGGGAGUAAAAGGUGCUACGUGUAGCUUUUUGUAUGUACCAUAUGAAUAAGGAUCGGCUAACUCCGUGCCAGCAGCCGCGGUAAUACGGAGGAUUCGAGCGUUAUCCGGAUUUAUUGGGGUUAAAGGGAGCGUAGGCGGUAGGUUAAGUUAGUUGGGAAAGUUGGGGGCUCAACCGUAGAAUUGCCGUUGAAACUGGCAGUCUAGAGUGUAGUAGAGGUAGGCGGAAUGCGUGGUGUAGCGGUGAAAUGCUUAGAGAUCACGAAGAACUCCGAUUGCGAAGGCAGCUCACUGGACUGCAACUGACGCUGAGGCACGAAAGUGUGGGUAUCAAACAGGAUUAGAUACCCGAGUAGUC